RNAcentral lists this unclassified non-coding RNA (996 nucleotides) under Hevea brasiliensis (rubber tree). The record is from RNAcentral. Lineage: Eukaryota; Viridiplantae; Streptophyta; Magnoliopsida; Malpighiales; Euphorbiaceae.
GGUUUAUAAUUCUUGAUAAAGAAAAAAAGAAAGAACAAAAUGCCGGAAGGAAUAACAGCUGAGAAUCUUUUGAACAACAUCAUGGACUCUAUUUCUGAGGGUGAGCUGAAACACAAAGCUACGUCAUUUUUUCAAGACGAAAGUGAAAGCUCUGUUAGUGCUCAAUUCAAUAGGCUAUUUGGACGUCAAAAACCAAUCCACCACUGUUUAGGUGGAGGCAAAUCGGCUGAUAGCAUGUUGUGGAGAAACAAGAAAAUUUCAGCCGGCGUUUUAAUCAGUGCUACUGCCAUCUGGGUGCUAUUCGAGUGGCUUAACUACAAUUUUCUUUCACUUCUGUGCUUUGGUCUGUCCUUUGGUCUGAUCGCGCAGUUUCUGUUGAAAAAUGCUUCUGGGGUAAUAAACAGGUCUCCUACGGUUCCUCGUCUUGUCUUACCUGAAGACCUCUUCAUCAAUAUUGCCAAGAGAAUUGGCACUGAAUUAAACCAUGGUUUGGGCUUCCUUCAAGAUGCUGCCUUGGGCGGUAAUCUGAAACAAUUCGUAGUGGUUAUACUGAGCUUGUGGGCUGCUGGUAUGAUCGGAACCUGGUGCAACUUCUUGACUGUUCUGUAUAUUGGUUUCAUCGCUGCUCACACUCUACCAGUGCUAUACGAAAGAUAUGAAGAUGAAGUUGAUGGUUUCGUUUACAGUGCCCUCGAUAAGCUUCAAGGCCAUUACAAGAAGCUGGAUUCUGGUGUCCUCAGCAGACUACCGCGAGGCAGCUUCAGGGGAAAGAAGGUUGAAUAAAUCUUCAAUUUACUGAAGGUAAACUCGUGGAGAAAAAACAUUAGCCUGUAUGCAGAGAUCAAAUAUGAAACUCGUUUUCGUGCUUAGGCAACACAUUGCUGUAUGUAUGCUUAGGAUUAAUCGACGAGGUAUUGAACUGUAGGUCAUCUCGUCGUGUAAAUGUUGCAGGUACUUCGAUUGAAGUUUGGCAUUUGAAAAUAAAUUGAAUUUUGC